GCUACUUUCCCCCUCAGUGUCAGCUCUGUAAAAACUUGUUUCAGUCCUGCCUACAUGCGUCUUGUUUCUUCCCUUCACACAGACGUUAAACAGCGAACUGAGACUGUGGUUCGAACAGAACAGGUGAAUACAAAGCUAAACGUCAUGGCCCCUCUUACAGUGUCAAAGCUUCUGUCCUGCCUCAUCACAUCUGCAAGUGUGCACAAUCUUGAUUAUAUCCGAACCUGGGCACAUUAGUUUCUUUUUUCAACAUUUUACUCUUUGUUACUUUCUGUUUUAAGAUGCCUGCACACUGAGUGCAUCCUCGCUGCGUUACUGGCUCAGUCCUUCAGAAGACCAUCGUGCAUUAUAGUCACUGCAAUGUGGUUUUCCCUUUGGGUUUUGUGUUCAGGAGUCAACAAACCAACAGUAUGCUACUGGCUCACAGAUAUUUCAGCUUCAGAUGUUUCCAUCACUGAGCUCUGUGAGACUCGUUUUAACUUUAACGUUGGGAGUUUUGCUGAAAAGUCAAUUAUCUAAAUUCAAAAUUGCUUGAAAGGGACCUAAAACUGAGACACACUGAAUGUGAAUUAGUAAACCGUCACCGCGGCGUACUGGCUGCAGCACAUUUUAGCUGCAUAGGGUGCAACGCUUCAUCUCCCCGCAUUCUGCCAUCAUUCACACAUAUAUGGACAAAGAGGUGAAGAUGUUUAAUUACUUCAUUCCAGUUUUCUGAUAAUGCCAAUCUAAGUGUCAGUCACUUGCACAGUCGUGUAGUUAAAUGAUAGGCGCCUACACUGUCAUACAUCAUUUAAACAUAUAUAAAUUGUCGAUUAAUAUUGAUGGAAAUCAUAAAUAAAUAAUGACUUAGACCUCUGGAUUGGCUUAAAUAACUCACCUCUCAUUUUCAUAUAUGUCUUGUCAUUAUUAUCUCAUAUGAAUAGCUGGUGCAGUUGACCUCUGCUGUAAUUAUUGUAUUUCAAAUUACUCAUGUACUCAAAUCUAUCAGUUUUUAACAUAGAGCUUUUUCUGUUUAUUUAUGUUCUUAUGUUACAAGUUCACACUCAAUUUCCUAGAAUAAAGUAGUGGCUAUAUUGUGAAUUUACCUUCCUCAGUUUGCUCUGCUUGUGACACCCCCACCCACCCCGCUAUCCCACUGUCCUCAGGCCCCUGGAGAGACCUUAUCUCAGGAGAGGCUGUGUGUUGGAUUGCUGAGUCACCUUUCGUGGGAGGCUGCCCUUAUCUCCUAAGAAGCACAACAUUCAGGCAGUUGGUUGCAAAAGGAGGAACUUUGGGCAGGAGCACUGUGGCCUGCUGUGUCUUCAUGGCCAUAUUACAGAUUGCAGCAAUGCUCGCCGACUUCCUCAAAGCCUUCGGCCCACGUCACUGCUUUCUCUGUAAGGCCAGGAGCUGCCGGCUUUGCAAGCAGGUGUGGGG
This is a long non-coding RNA of Etheostoma cragini (Arkansas darter), 1416 nucleotides long. RefSeq lists it as uncharacterized. The transcript has 2 exons. Lineage: Eukaryota; Metazoa; Chordata; Actinopteri; Perciformes; Percidae. The record is from RefSeq and is a predicted model, not a curated record.